AACGAACGCUGGCGGCGUGGAUAAGACAUGCAAGUCGAACGGGACCAGGUUUGUAGCAAUACAGGCUUGGUUCAGUGGCGAACGGGUGCGUAACACGUGAGCAAUCUGCCGGGAAGUGGGGGAUAGCUCGCCGAAAGGCGAAUUAAUACCGCAUAUGGCCAUUCUUUGAUUAAAGGAAAAACCAAAGCAGCAAUGCGCUUCCUGAUGAGCUCGCGGCCUAUCAGCUAGAUGGCGGGGUAAUGGCCCACCAUGGCUAUGACGGGUAGCUGGUCUGAGAGGACGACCAGCCACACUGGAACUGAGAUACGGUCCAGACACCUACGGGUGGCAGCAGUCGAGAAUUUUUCACAAUGGGGGCAACCCUGAUGGAGCGACGCCGCGUGGAGGAUGAAGGCCUUCGGGUUGUAAACUCCUGUCAUGCGGGAACAAGCAAGUGAUAGUACCGCAAGAGGAAGAGACGGCUAACUCUGUGCCAGCAGCCGCGGUAAUACAGAGGUCUCAAGCGUUGUUCGGAUUCAUUGGGCGUAAAGGGUGCGUAGGUGGUGACGCAAGUCUGGUGUGAAAUCUCGGAGCUUAACUCCGAAAUUGCACCGGAUACUGCGUGACUCGAGGACUGUAGAGGAGAUCGGAAUUCACGGUGUAGCAGUGAAAUGCGUAGAUAUCGUGAGGAAGACCAGUUGCGAAGGCGGAUCUCUGGGCAGUUCCUGACACUGAGGCACGAAGGCCAGGGGAGCAAACGGGAUUAGAUACCCCGGUAGUCCUGGCAGUAAACGGUGCACGUUUGGUGUGGGCGGGUUCAGACCCCGUCCGUGCCGGAGCUAACGCGUUAAACGUGCCGCCUGGGAAGUACGGUCGCAAGAUUAAAACUCAAGGAAAUUGACGGGGGCCCGCACAAGCGGUGGAGUAUGUGGCUUAAUUCGAUGCAACGCGAAGAACCUUACCUGGCCUUGACAUGCAUUGUGUCCCCGGUGAAAGCCGGGUAGCUGGUAGCAAUAUCAGCGCCUUGCACAGGUGCUGCAUGGCAGUCGUCAG
Molecule: ribosomal RNA, 1032 nt
Filed under: uncultured bacterium
Lineage: Bacteria
Description: bacterial SSU rRNA
Rfam family: Bacterial small subunit ribosomal RNA
Source: RNAcentral